This 837-nucleotide ribosomal RNA is filed under the name Vibrio sp. Its description in RNAcentral is "bacterial SSU rRNA". It matches the Rfam family "Bacterial small subunit ribosomal RNA", at positions 234 to 1063 of the family's 1533-position model. The record is from RNAcentral. Lineage: Bacteria; Pseudomonadati; Pseudomonadota; Gammaproteobacteria; Vibrionales; Vibrionaceae.
GGUGGGAUUAGCUAGUUGGUGAGGUAAGGGCUCACCAAGGCGACGAUCCCUAGCUGGUCUGAGAGGAUGAUCAGCCACACUGGAACUGAGACACGGUCCAGACUCCUACGGGAGGCAGCAGUGGGGAAUAUUGCACAAUGGGCGCAAGCCUGAUGCAGCCAUGCCGCGUGUGUGAAGAAGGCCUUCGGGUUGUAAAGCACUUUCAGUCGUGAGGAAGGUGGUGUAGUUAAUAGCUGUAUCAUUUGACGUUAGCGACAGAAGAAGCACCGGCUAACUCCGUGCCAGCAGCCGCGGUAAUACGGAGGGUGCGAGCGUUAAUCGGAAUUACUGGGCGUAAAGCGCAUGCAGGUGGUUUGUUAAGUCAGAUGUGAAAGCCCGGGGCUCAACCUCGGAAUUGCAUUUGAAACUGGCAGACUAGAGUACUGUAGAGGGGGGUAGAAUUUCAGGUGUAGCGGUGAAAUGCGUAGAGAUCUGAAGGAAUACCGGUGGCGAAGGCGGCCCCCUGGACAGAUACUGACACUCAGAUGCGAAAGCGUGGGGAGCAAACAGGAUUAGAUACCCUGGUAGUCCACGCCGUAAACGAUGUCUACUUGGAGGUUGUGGCCUUGAGCCGUGGCUUUCGGAGCUAACGCGUUAAGUAGACCGCCUGGGGAGUACGGUCGCAAGAUUAAAACUCAAAUGAAUUGACGGGGGCCCGCACAAGCGGUGGAGCAUGUGGUUUAAUUCGAUGCAACGCGAAGAACCUUACCUACUCUUGACAUCCAGAGAACUUUCCAGAGAUGGAUUGGUGCCUUCGGGAACUCUGAGACAGGUGCUGCAUGGCUGUCGUCAGCUCGU